CCCCCUUAGGCUGGGGCUGCUGUGGCAGAUUGGGAGGGCUGUGGCACAUUGCAGGGGACUAUGGCAGGUUAAGUGUGCUGCAGCAGGUGCGGAGGUAUGUCCCUGCCCUGUGCUGGUGCUGAGAGCUGCAGGCAGGCCCCGUCCCACUACACUGCUGUGAUGGAGGAGGGAAAGAGGGCCCCAGCGGCCCCACCCUCCAGCUCCCUCCUCCCCCAGAGUGGCGCCAGGGCCGCAUGGCGCGCAUCAUCCUGCAGGACGAGGACGUCACUACCAAGAUUGACAACGAUUGGAAGAGGCUGAACACACUGGCUCACUACCAGGUGACAGACGGGUCCUCGGUGGCACUGGUGCCCAAGCAGACGUCCGCCUACAAUAUCUCCAACUCCUCCACCUUCACCAAGUCCCUCAGC
This 410-nucleotide small RNA is filed under the name Pan troglodytes (chimpanzee). RNAcentral's name for it is "retained intron". Lineage: Eukaryota; Metazoa; Chordata; Mammalia; Primates; Hominidae. The record is from RNAcentral.